This 302-nucleotide ribosomal RNA is filed under the name uncultured bacterium. RNAcentral describes it as "bacterial SSU rRNA". It matches the Rfam family "Bacterial small subunit ribosomal RNA", at positions 30 to 332 of the family's 1533-position model. The record is from RNAcentral.
AUUGAACGCUGGCGGCAUGCCUUACACAUGCAAGUCGAACGGCAGCGGACCUUCGGGUGCCGGCGAGUGGCGAACGGGUGAGUAAUAUAUCGGAACGUACCUUUCAGUGGGGGAUAACUAGCGAAAGUUACGCUAAUACCGCAUAUUCUGUGAGCAGGAAAGCAGGGAGUCGCAAGACCUUGCGCUGAUUGAGCGGCCGAUAUCAGAUUAGCUAGUUGGUGAGGUAAAGGACUCACCAAGGACGACGAAUCUGUAGCGGGUCGUGAGAGGAUGAUCGCCACACUGGAACUGAGACACGGUCC